AACGAACGCUGGCGGCAUGCCUAACACAUGCAAGUCGAACGAGACCUUCGGGUCUAGUGGCGCACGGGUGCGUAACGCGUGGGAACCUGCCCUUAGGUUCGGAAUAACUCCCCGAAAGGGGUGCUAAUACCGGAUAAUGUCUUCGGACCAAAGAUUUAUCGCCUUUGGAUGGGCCCGCGUUGGAUUAGCUAGUUGGUAGGGUAAAAGCCUACCAAGGCGACGAUCCAUAGCUGGUCUGAGAGGAUGAUCAGCCACACUGGGACUGAGACACGGCCCAGACUCCUACGGGGAGGAGGAGGUGGGAAUAUUGGGCAAGGGGCCAAAACCCUAUCCCGCCAUGCCCGGGGAGAGGAUAAGGGCCUUGGGUUGUAAAGCCCCUUUUACCGGGGUGGUAAUGACAGUAACGGGAAAAUAAGCCCCGGCUAACUUCGGG
RNAcentral lists this ribosomal RNA (433 nucleotides) under uncultured bacterium. RNAcentral describes it as "partial 16S ribosomal RNA". It matches the Rfam family "Bacterial small subunit ribosomal RNA", at positions 29 to 507 of the family's 1533-position model. The record is from RNAcentral.